UACGUAGGGUGCAAGCGUUGUCCGGAAUUAUUGGGCGUAAAGAGCUCGUAGGCGGUUUGUUGCGUCGGCUGUGAAAACCCACGGCUCAACUGUGGGCUUGCAUUCGAUACGGGCAGGCUAGAGUUCGGUAGGGGAGACUGGAAUUCCUGGUGUAGCGGUGAAAUGCGCAGAUAUCAGGAGGAACACCGGUGGCGAAGGCGGGUCUCUGGGCCGAUACUGACGCUGAGGAGCGAAAGCGUGGGGAGCGAACAGG
This 253-nucleotide ribosomal RNA is filed under the name uncultured bacterium. RNAcentral's name for it is "partial 16S ribosomal RNA". It matches the Rfam family "Bacterial small subunit ribosomal RNA", at positions 524 to 776 of the family's 1533-position model. The record is from RNAcentral.